Molecule: long non-coding RNA, 205 nt
Filed under: Gossypium raimondii (Peruvian cotton)
Lineage: Eukaryota; Viridiplantae; Streptophyta; Magnoliopsida; Malvales; Malvaceae
Description: long non-coding RNA (GRAI_LNC001580)
Source: RNAcentral
GCAAAUAUGUAAUGGUAAUUGGAUUUAGCACAGUACGCUUGAAUGUGUGUGGGAUCAAACCAAGGAACAUUCUUUUCACACUUAAUCACGAAGUUAUGUAAGGAAGCAGGAGUCCCUAUAGAGCCAAUGGAAAAAUAGAUGAGCCCUGCAAAGAAAUUACUAGGGGAUAGGAUAUAUAAGCAAUUUGUCAUUCUCCACAAAAAAA